RNAcentral lists this ribosomal RNA (832 nucleotides) under Salmonella enterica. RNAcentral describes it as "partial 23S ribosomal RNA". It matches the Rfam family "Bacterial large subunit ribosomal RNA", at positions 668 to 1503 of the family's 2925-position model. Lineage: Bacteria; Pseudomonadati; Pseudomonadota; Gammaproteobacteria; Enterobacterales; Enterobacteriaceae. The record is from RNAcentral.
GAGGGAAACCGAGUCUUAACCGGGCGUUAAGUUGCAGGGUAUAGACCCGAAACCCGGUGAUCUAGCCAUGGGCAGGUUGAAGGUUGGGUAACACUAACUGGAGGACCGAACCGACUAAUGUUGAAAAAUUAGCGGAUGACCUGUGGCUGGGGGUGAAAGGCCAAUCAAACCGGGAGAUAGCUGGUUCUCCCCGAAAGCUAUUUAGGUAGCGCCUCGUGAACUCAUCUCCGGGGGUAGAGCACUGUUUCGGCUAGGGGGCCAUCCCGGCUUACCAACCCGAUGCAAACUGCGAAUACCGGAGAAUGUUAUCACGGGAGACACACGGCGGGUGCUAACGUCCGUCGUGAAGAGGGAAACAACCCAGACCGCCAGCUAAGGUCCCAAAGUCAUGGUUAAGUGGGAAACGAUGUGGGAAGGCCCAGACAGCCAGGAUGUUGGCUUAGAAGCAGCCAUCAUUUAAAGAAAGCGUAAUAGCUCACUGGUCGAGUCGGCCUGCGCGGAAGAUGUAACGGGGCUAAACCAUGCACCGAAGCUGCGGCAGCGACACUGUGUGUUGUUGGGUAGGGGAGCGUUCUGUAAGCCUGCGAAGGUGGCCUGUGAGGGUUGCUGGAGGUAUCAGAAGUGCGAAUGCUGACAUAAGUAACGAUAAAGCGGGUGAAAAGCCCGCUCGCCGGAAGACCAAGGGUUCCUGUCCAACGUUAAUCGGGGCAGGGUGAGUCGACCCCUAAGGCGAGGCCGAAAGGCGUAGUCGAUGGGAAACGGGUUAAUAUUCCCGUACUUGGUGUUACUGCGAAGGGGGGACGGAGAAGGCUAUGUUGGCCGGGCGACGGUU